Molecule: unclassified non-coding RNA, 28 nt
Filed under: Mus musculus (house mouse)
Lineage: Eukaryota; Metazoa; Chordata; Mammalia; Rodentia; Muridae
Description: oocyte_clustered_small_RNA11857
Source: RNAcentral
UGAGGUGGUGAUACCCGCGAUGCCUAAC